CCUACGGGCGGCAGCAGUGAGGAAUAUUGGUCAAUGGGCGGGAGCCUGAACCAGCCAAGUCGCGUGAGGGAAGACGGUCCUAUGGAUUGUAAACCUCUUUAGGCGGGGAGCAAUGCCGGGCACGCGUGCCCGGAGGGAGAGUACCCGCAGAAUAAGCAUCGGCUAACUCCGUGCCAGCAGCCGCGGUAAUACGGAGGAUGCGAGCGUUAUCCGGAUUGAUUGGGUUUAAAGGGUGCGUAGGCGGAUUUUUAAGUCAGCGGGAAACUGUCCGGGCUCAACCCGGGCCGGCCGUUGAAACUGGGGAUCUUGAGUGGGCGAGAAGUAUGCGGAAGGCGUGGUGUAGCGGUGAAAUGCAUAGAUAUCACGCAGAACUCCGAUUGCGAAGGCAGCAUACCGGCGCCCGACUGACGCUGAGGCACGAAAGCGUGGGGAUCGAACAGGAUUAGAUACCCGGGUAGUC
This 460-nucleotide ribosomal RNA is filed under the name uncultured bacterium. Its description in RNAcentral is "partial 16S ribosomal RNA". It matches the Rfam family "Bacterial small subunit ribosomal RNA", at positions 338 to 795 of the family's 1533-position model. The record is from RNAcentral.